GGCGUACGGGUGAGUAACACGUGGGCAACUUGCCCUAGAGACCGGGAUACCCUCUCGAAAGGGAGGCUAAUACCGGAUACGUUCUUCGGGUCGCAAGAUCUGGAGAGGAAAGGUGGCGCAAGCUACCGCUCUUGGAGAGGCUCGCGGCCUAUCAGCUAGUUGGUGAGGUAAUGGCUCACCAAGGCUAUGACGGGUAGCUGGUCUGAGAGGACGACCAGCCACACGGGAACUGAGACACGGUCCCGACUCCUACGGGAGGCAGCAGUGGGGAAUUUUCCGCAAUGGGCGAAAGCCUGACGGAGUGACGCCGCGUGGGGGACGAAGGCCUUCGGGUUGUAAACCCCUGUCAGAGGGAAAGAAGGGUGUCGGCGUGAUAACCGCCGGCACUUGACGGUACCUUCAGAGGAAGCCCCGGCCAACUCUGUGCCAGCAGCCGCGGUAAGACAGAGGGGGCAAGCGUUGCUCGGAAUCACUGGGCGUAAAGGGCGCGUAGGCGGGAUGGCAAGUCGGUCGUGAAAUCUCUCGGCUCAACCGAGAAACGUCGGCCGAUACUGCCGUUCUUGAGGGAUGCAGAGGAGACUGGAAUUCCCGGUGUAGCGGUGAAAUGUGUAGAGAUCGGGAGGAACACCGGUGGCGAAGGCGGGCCUCUGGGCAUUUCCUGACGCUGAGGCGCGAAAGCGUGGGGAGCAAACGGGAUUAGAUACCCCGGUAGUCC
RNAcentral lists this ribosomal RNA (715 nucleotides) under uncultured bacterium. Its description in RNAcentral is "bacterial SSU rRNA". It matches the Rfam family "Bacterial small subunit ribosomal RNA", at positions 97 to 796 of the family's 1533-position model. The record is from RNAcentral.